Molecule: ribosomal RNA, 474 nt
Filed under: Salmonella enterica subsp. enterica
Lineage: Bacteria; Pseudomonadati; Pseudomonadota; Gammaproteobacteria; Enterobacterales; Enterobacteriaceae
Description: partial 23S ribosomal RNA
Rfam family: Bacterial large subunit ribosomal RNA
Source: RNAcentral
GGGUUGUGAGGUUAAGCGACUAAGCGUACACGGUGGAUGCCCUGGCAGUCAGAGGCGAUGAAGGGCGUGCUAAUCUGCGAUAAGCGCCGGUAAGGUGAUAUGAACCGUUAUAACCGGCGAUACCCGAAUGGGGAAACCCAGUGUGACUCGUCACACUAUCAUUAACUGAAUCCAUAGGUUAAUGAGGCGAACCGGGGGAACUGAAACAUCUAAGUACCCCGAGGAAAAGAAAUCAACCGAGAUUCCCCCAGUAGCGGCGAGCGAACGGGGAGGAGCCCAGAGCCUGAAUCAGCAUGUGUGUUAGUGGAAGCGUCUGGAAAGGCGCGCGAUACAGGGUGACAGCCCCGUACACAAAAGCGCAUGUGCUGUGAGCUCGAUGAGUAGGGCGGGACACGUGGUAUCCUGUCUGAAUAUGGGGGGACCAUCCUCCAAGGCUAAAUACUCCUGACUGACCGAUAGUGAACCAGUACCGUG